ACUGCACAAACCAUGAUAAUGACCAGCAAGGAUGGAGGGAGCGUAUGAGAUGUGCCGGGCAGUGUGCUACGUCUCAGCCAACUCUAGGAGAUGGAAUGAAGACUGUUUGUUAAAACACCCUGCCCCUCUCUUUACUUGGACCUGAUUUUGAAAGUACAAGUCACUUUAUUUGGGCUGGAGGAAAAAGCACUAAACCAGAUGUUGAGGUGACCGGGAUUCCUGGAAGACGUUCUUCUCUCCGACGAGACGCGUGAUGCAUGAAGUAGGAGCCCCUGGCAAGGAGCCCAGGCUGCCAUGGCCUCGCUCGCUCAUGCUUCCCGGCAUGGCCCCGAGGCUAGCUGCCUCUGUACUGCCUGAGCAUCGUCCCCUGGUGUGUCACCAGACUACUCACUAUCUGUGCUUGCACCUGCGGGUAGGCAGUUCAGUCGCCGCAGGCCGAAGCUCCCUGUCAUAGGAAUCCAUCAACACUGGAGUUCACCAAAUGGCCCAGUCCAGGAAGCAUGGUCAUGGCAAUACCUGGAGUCUCCACCGCAAGACCAGAGUGAUGGAGGCAGCAGAACUCCUCAGCAGACCAGGAGUCUCCAGAGGCACUACAGAAUGUCUAGGAAGCAACCUCAUUGUAUUCCCAAGACCCGGGAAUCCAGGUCUCACAGAUAUGAUGAUACAAUCUAUAGCCAGGACAUCUCUUCAUGUGUAGACAUGAAAGCCAGAUAUGGAAGAAUUUGCAGCCUCAUACGGAUUGGCCCAUUGAGGAGUCCACUCAUCUCUCUUUUAGAAAAAAGAUCACAUUUAUGGAAUAAAGAAUAUACUAUGCUCUCUACUUACCAAGAGAUUUCUUUCUCUAUUGACAACGUUUUGUUGACGUGAUUACUGUGCAGGUUCUGACGGUCGAUUCUUUCCACCUAGCUCACUGCUGAAGCUAUAAUGAUUUCCAUUUUUCAAAAAGAGGAUGAUUACUUAUUAUCUGUGACCAUUUCUCAAUCACAGAACGAUUGAACUGCAUAGUCCCCGCGAUCUUGUAAAGGCAUUUGGCCUAGAAGACGCUCUGCAGCCAUGUGCCAAGAACAAUGGCUAUAGGGACAAUGUUUCGUUAACCCCAAAGCAGCAACCUGAACCUCUUACUGUACAAUAUCUGCUCCGUUCAGAAUUGGCUCGACUUGAGUCACAGGAUGAAGCUUAUCAAAAGGAAUUUCCAUGUCCAAGGAAGGAACCAAGAUCACUGAGAGGUUAUAGUAUGAAAAUGAAGAGAAAAAAUCUAUUCUAAACAUUUUGUUAAUUGUCAAUAAUUAUUUUAAAACAUUUAAUAUAGUCUCCUAUCUGGUCCGCUGGCAUCAAGCUGCCGAAUUUACAUGGUCGCUCUGGGAAGCCAGCUGGCAGGCGGGCAUGGAAAGUGCUGGCUCCCAGCGCAUUGAGAAGACCAACAGAUAGAUGGUAAUUUUCCUCUUUGUUUUGUUUUUCUUUUUUUCUCUCCCUCUUUUUCUUCCCUCUUGCCUUUCCCUCCCAUUGCCCCACUUUUUUUUUUUUUUUUUUUUUUUGGCUAUUGAAGAUUUAUUGCCUUUCAGUACUUACAGAUGAUGUUUUCAUAGGCUCUAAUGAGGUCCCAGCAGUUUUUAACAAUAACAGGACAUUACUGUUCCUAAGAUAUAUUAUGUGUUUUCCCUCAUCUUUCUCCCUUGAAUGAAAUGCUUAGAAGUAGGCUAACCCCCAAUUCCCUUCCCUUUACUAUGAUAAAUGGCUCCAUUACUUAAUAGGGCUAAAUAUUUUGCUGUGACUUUUCUACUGCUCAUUUGAAUAAAAUCUUAAGAAAAGCUUUUCUUGUGUGUUUUUCAGGUACUUUCUAGGAGAGUACCUGAGCACGUGCAUGCAAACACCUGUGUAUUAUCAGCCUUGAGAAACCUCUUUUUUUUUUUUUUUUUCUGAGACAGGGUCUGGCUCUGUUGCCCAGGUUGAGUGUAGUUGUGCAAUCAUGGCUCGUUGCAGCCCUGAACUCCUGGGCUCAAGAGAUCCUCCCACCUUAGCCUCCCAAGUGGCUGGGACUACAGGUGUGUGCCACCACACUUGGCUACUUUUUAUUUUUGGUAGAGAUGGAGGUCUUACUUUGUUACCCAGACUGGUCUCGAAUUCUUGAGCUCAAGUGAUCCUCCUGUCUCAGCCUCCCUAAGUGCUGGGAUUACAGGUGCAAGCUGCCGUGCCCAGGAACCCUUUCUAAUGCCAUCCUUGCUAGUCAUGCAUCUUGCUGGCAAGUUUUGCAGCAUUUCCUGAUCCUCCUUGAGAGCUGUCCAGGGAGAUUGCUCACUAUCUCUCCAGUUCCUGGAUUCUGAGGCAGUUCAUUUUGUCACCCAUGGCUCCAACCCCAUGUGACACGUCCACCUUUCACAGGAAGCCGCAUCCUUCUCUGAGUUGCCUGCAAAGGCCAGCCAUCCUCCAGUUGCCUCAAUGCGACCCGUGACCAUGGAGGUAUUUUUUAAAAGGAAAAACCAUUGCCAUGAACAAGUCCCUCAGCACCACAUGACUUAACUAGGGGGGUCCUGACACUUGUUCUUCCGUGGUGACAGGGUUGGCAGCCCACUCCAGAGGUAUUUUUUGUUGUUGUUGUUCUUAAAGGUAAGACAGAUUAAAUGUAAGUAACAAGCAACAAAGAAAGGGACCAAGCUGCAUCCCACGAUGUAACACACAGGGAUUUCACUAAAAUCAGGCUUUUUCCUUUGAGGAAUUACAAGCUGUAGGGAAUGAUUUUUAGCGAGAAGGGGCUUCAAGCAGGAAAACUCAGAAACAUUCUGUAUUACUGUGUUCUAUUUUGGUUCCGGGCUAGCUUUGGCUGGGUGGCUUUCACUGUGCCCUGAAAUUAACAUGUUGUAAACGGACGGGUUGGGUCUCAGACCCAGCAAAGAAGCCAGCUUGAAAAAUCAUUCUGGGAAAUGCCCUGAAUCACUUGUUCCAGGAACAGAAAGCCACUGUGCCUUGAGAAACAGGCCGUCGGCAAAGUCCCUGAGACAGGCACCCUCGGAUUUGCUGUCAGGUCGUCACCGUCCUCCCUUCAUUCUAGGGCUUUCUGUCACUUCACUACUCAUAUUAUUGGGGGCUUGACUUCUGCUAAUAGGUUCUCUUAAAG
This 3112-nucleotide long non-coding RNA is filed under the name Macaca fascicularis (crab-eating macaque). RNAcentral's name for it is "lncRNA (ENSMFAG00000057273.1)". The record is from RNAcentral. Lineage: Eukaryota; Metazoa; Chordata; Mammalia; Primates; Cercopithecidae.